Molecule: ribosomal RNA, 396 nt
Filed under: Cercozoa sp.
Lineage: Eukaryota; Cercozoa
Description: partial small subunit ribosomal RNA
Rfam family: Eukaryotic small subunit ribosomal RNA
Source: RNAcentral
AUUCCAGCUCCAGUAGCGUAUAUUAAAGUUGUUGCAGUUAAAAAGCUCGUAGUUGGAUUUCUGACUUCAAACACCUGACCCUCCCUCGCUAGAGGUGUGUGUGCCGGAGUGUUUGUAUCAUCCUUUCAGUGAUCGGUUCUACCCUUAACCGGGUCGGAACUGUUAACUGGAUCUUUUACUUUGAAGAAAUUGGAGUGUUUAAAGCAGGCUUACGCCAGAACAUAUUAGCAUGGAAUAAUAAUUUGGGACUUUUGUUCUAUUUUGUUGGUUUCUAGGACGAAAGUAAUGAUUGAUAGGGAUAGUUGGGGGUGCUAGUAUUCGGCGGCCAGAGGUGAAAUUCUUUGAUCCGCUGAAGACUAACUUAUGCGAAAGCAUUCACCAAGGAUGUCUUCAUUA